This 447-nucleotide ribosomal RNA is filed under the name uncultured bacterium. Its description in RNAcentral is "partial 16S ribosomal RNA". It matches the Rfam family "Bacterial small subunit ribosomal RNA", at positions 29 to 523 of the family's 1533-position model. The record is from RNAcentral.
AACGAACGCUGGCGGCAGGCCUAACACAUGCAAGUCGAGCGCGUAGCAAUACGAGCGGCGCACGGGAUAGUAACGCGUGGGAACCUACCUUUCGGUUCGGAAUAACAUCGGGAAACUGGUGCUAAUACCGGAUACGCCCUUCGGGGGAAAGGUUUAUUGCCGAUAGAUGGGCCCGCGUUGGAUUAGCUAGUUGGUGGGGUAACGGCUCACCAAGGCAACGAUCCAUAGCUGGUCUGAGAGGAGGGUCAGCAUCACUGGGACUGAGACACGGCCCGGCGGCCUACGGGAGGCAGCAGUGGGGAAUAUUGGACAAUGGGGGCAACCCCGAUCCAACCAUGGCGCGUGAAUGAUGAAGGCCUUCUGGUUGUAAAGUUCUUGUUCGGGCGACGAUGGUGACGGUACCCACUGAGUCAGCUCCGGCUAACUUCGUGCCAGCCGCCGCCGUAA